AAUCAAUGAGCUUGAAUAAGCAUAUAUUUUGAAAAUAUAGGAUAAUAAAUUUUUUAUUAUUGAUUU
RNAcentral lists this transfer RNA (66 nucleotides) under Gibbium aequinoctiale. RNAcentral's name for it is "tRNA-Ser". The record is from RNAcentral. Lineage: Eukaryota; Metazoa; Arthropoda; Insecta; Coleoptera; Ptinidae.